UCCGGUUUGUCACCGGCAGUCUCCAUAGAGUGCCCAACUGAAUGAUGGCAACUAGGGAUAGGGGUUGCGCUCGUUAAGGGACUUAACCCGACAUCUCACGAUACGAGCUGACGACAGCCAUGCAGCACCUGUCUCGUAGCCCCCGAAGGGGAAACCGUAUCUCUACGGCUGUCUACGGAUGUCAAACCCAGGUAAGGUUCUUCGCGUUGCAUCGAAUUAAACCACAUGCUCCACCGCUUGUGUGGGCCCCCGUCAAUUCCUUUGAGUUUUAACCUUGCGGCCGUACUUCCCAGGCGGGGUACUUAAUGCGUUAGCGUCGGCACUGCAGGGGUCAAUUCCCGCAACACCUAGUACCCAUCGUUUACGGCGUGGACUAC
This 377-nucleotide unclassified non-coding RNA is filed under the name uncultured Oligoflexales bacterium. RNAcentral's name for it is "contains 16S-23S intergenic spacer region". The record is from RNAcentral. Lineage: Bacteria; Pseudomonadati; Bdellovibrionota; Oligoflexia; Oligoflexales.